GAAAGAGACAACAUUCCAGGCAACAACAGGACGACGAUGAAGCAGGAGACAAUGGAUUUGGUACAGACAGCUCCAGCUGUAAAGCAGCCCAGACGUACGAGGAAUUGUCAAUGAAAACAGAUACAUCGGUUUAUGAUGCUCUGA
Mya arenaria is the source of this 144-nucleotide long non-coding RNA. RefSeq lists it as uncharacterized. The record is from RefSeq and is a predicted model, not a curated record. The transcript is spliced from 3 exons. Lineage: Eukaryota; Metazoa; Mollusca; Bivalvia; Myida; Myidae.